CGGGGUGUGGCGCAGCUUGGUAGCGCGCGUCGUUCGGGACGACGAGGUCGCAGGUUCAACUCCUGUUACCCCGACCA
This 77-nucleotide transfer RNA is filed under the name Actinomycetota bacterium. RNAcentral describes it as "Actinobacteria bacterium tRNA-Pro". It matches the Rfam family "tRNA". From Rfam's summary of the family: Transfer RNA (tRNA) molecules are approximately 80 nucleotides in length. RNAcentral also lists the same sequence under 1 other name. The record is from RNAcentral. Lineage: Bacteria; Bacillati; Actinomycetota.